GAUGAACGCUGGCGGCGUGCCUAAUACAUGCAAGUCGAGCGAACGGACGAGAAGCUUGCUUCUCUGAUGUUAGCGGCGGACGGGUGAGUAACACGUGGAUAACCUACCUAUAAGACUGGGAUCACUUCGGGAAACCGGAGCUAAUACCGGAUAAUAUUUUGAACCGCAUGGUUCAAAAGUGAAAGACGGUCUUGCUGUCACUUAUAGAUGGAUCCGCGCUGCAUUAGCUAGUUGGUAAGGUAACGGCUUACCAAGGCAACGAUGCAUAGCCGACCUGAGAGGGUGAUCGGCCACACUGGAACUGAGACACGGUCCAGACUCCUACGGGAGGCAGCAGUAGGGAAUCUUCCGCAAUGGGCGAAAGCCUGACGGAGCAACGCCGCGUGAGUGAUGAAGGUCUUCGGAUCGUAAAACUCUGUUAUUAGGGAAGAACAUAUGUGUAAGUAACUGUGCACAUCUUGACGGUACCUAAUCAGAAAGCCACGGCUAACUACGUG
Molecule: ribosomal RNA, 497 nt
Filed under: uncultured bacterium
Lineage: Bacteria
Description: partial 16S ribosomal RNA
Rfam family: Bacterial small subunit ribosomal RNA
Source: RNAcentral